AGAUGGCUUCCCUUUCUUUCUCCCACAGAAGUGCUGAUAUGGUUUUAUGACUUGGUCCCACUGAGUUGUCCAGAUCGGCCUGGAACUUAWGAUCCUCCUGCCCCAACCUCCUCAAUAGCUGGGAUUAUAGGUACCUUGCAUGUGAUUUACRCAGUGAAUGGCCCUGCUUUUGGAGCAAGUUAAUGAUAUAAUAUCCCCAUUUAUAUUCAGAGCAGUCAACACUUCCUAGCUCUCAGAAUAAUAAAAGCACCUGCAUUUAAUAUACAUGGAAGAAUGGGAAGGAAAAUAGCAGAUAAGGCACAAUCAGCUUACCAGGUGCUGGGGAGGAUCGAAUGUGGAAGUUGCAAGAAGUGAAGCAGGCCCAGGUGCAGAAGGGCUAUAGUACACAUACAGCCAGCUGACAGUCUGCCCCAGCAUUGGCAUCCCCAACCACAGGAGGGCCCAGCUCCUUCGUGGAGGGAUCAGAAAGCACUGGAUCUUAUCUGCUAUAAUCGGAACAGGAUGUUUUAUGCCGAAAAUUGAACUGACAGCUCUAUCUACUGAGAAGGCUUUUGUUCACUCUCUUGUUCCUCAAAUUGUGUGCUGUUUUGUUUUGUUUUAAGGGUGGCAGCCCUUGGCUUUGGCCAACCAGUGUUAAAUGAACUUCCACAAAUAUGAUUAUGAAUGAAAUGAAAUAACUGUCCAUUGCAUUUGGAAAUACUCUAUUUCUGUGGAAAUGGCUUUUCUCAAAGUACCUUUUUCUAUCCCCCUGCCUUAACUUAAACUGCCAUAACAAAAUGCUAUAGACCAGGUGGCUUAAAUGACAGAAACUUAUUUUCUUACAGUUCUGGAGGCUGAAAUCUGAGAUCAGAGUGACAGAAUGGUUGGAUUCUGGUGACAGCCUUAUUCCUGUCUUAGAGACAAUGUUCAUUUCACUGUGUGCUCACAUGACUUCUUCUUUGGGUAUGUGCAGAGACAGAGGAAACCAACACUUUGAUGUCCAUGUAUUAACCCCAUCAUGAGGGUCCCACCAUGUUGACCUUAUCUAAAUCUAAUUACUUCUGAAAGGUCCCAUCUCCAAAUGCCACAUUAGCAGUUAUGACUUCAACAAAUAAAUUUGUGUGGUGGGGAAUGUUUAUAAUUUAGUCUAUAGUAUCACCCAAUUGUUUUAUCAUAGCAAAGUUAAUAAGGYUGAGACAAAGAGAACUGUCUUCAAAAUGUUGACAAGACAGCCUUGGCAACUAAGCCAGACCUUGUCUCAAAAAAAAAAAAAAAGUGUGUGGGGGUGCUGGGGAUAUAACUCAGUGAUAGGGUGCUCCUGGGUCAAUCAUUGGUACUAAAAAAAUCAAAAUAAAAAUAUUUUCAAAAGUAUUGACAUGAAGAGUAUUAGAAUAUUAGUAGUUCAGUCCUGUGUUAGAGAGCUUUGAGUUGUUGUGACCAAUAUGCCAAACAAGAACAACUUAGAGAAGGAAAAAUUAAUUUUGGUUCAUGGAGGUUCAGUUCAUGGUUAGCAGCUGCAUAGCUCUGGGCCUAAGGAGAAGCAGCACAUCAUAGUGGAAAGGUGAGACUGAGGAAAACUGCUUAUUUCAGAAAGCAGAGAGAACUUGAGUACAAGGAUCCAAGGGCACAUCCCCAGUGACUUCCUCCAGCCAUGCCUACCACCCAUUGAUGCAUUCAAAUUAUUAAUCUCAAAUGGAUUAAUCCUCUGUUUAAAUUACAGCUAUCAUAAUUUGAUAAUUUUACCUCUGAACAUUCCUGUAUUAUUUCACACAUGAGCUUUCCUGGGGACACCUCACAUGCAAACUAUAACAGGUCCAUAAUGGAGCAAAUAUCAGUUGAUUGAGAGUGUUAAUAGCCAUGUGCUUUGUCCUUUCUCACCCAUGCCCACACCCACACUCAUGAAGCCCUACUGUACCUACUGUAGGUUUAUAUAGGAUGGGGUCAAUCACAGAAAGUGUCUGUGGCAGAAAUUAAAUGGAAAAAUAACAACUUUCAGGAUGCUUGUAGUGUCAGCAGUCUCUUGUGUUUUCUAUCCUUGCAGUAACAUAGACUAAUCACUGAUUUCAGAAUGAUAAAUUAACCUACAGGGAGCAAAUUCAUUACCUAGGAAAUUUUCAGUAAUAUACUGAAUACCGAGGUUGGAAAAGAACUGAUUUUCAGAAGAUUUCUAAUAACAGAAGUAGAAAGCACAAAGGAGUUUGUGGAGAAUUGUGGGUUAAUUACAACACCCUGUUUCCCAAGCAUUUCAUUUUGUAUAAUGUUUGCUUUUGGAAGAUGGACUGAGAUUUACGUUUUACAAUUGAAAUACUGAGCUUCUUCAAGGUCAUGAGAUAAGAUUGAGAUUAUCAAUUUAAGUAUGAAUUGCACAAUAUUGAAAAUGCCUUUCAAUAUUGAAAGUUGAAAAUGCCUCUCCCAAUAGCUUUUUGUUUUAUUUUUGCAUUUUUGUUGUAGCCUAUAAGGAACAAUCAAAGAAGCCUGUUGUUAUUAUUUUAACUUGUCAUUUUGUGAAUCUGGGCUAUGAAAAGCAAUGCUGGCCAUGUUAGAAAGAGAUGUAUCACUCUCUGAUUUAUGAUAGGCAGCUUAGAUAAAGCAUGAUCCAAGUUAUUUUAACUUCUAAAUUGAAAACCUUUUUUCUGCUUGAAGCCACAUUAAGAAGUAUUUCAUAAAUAGUGAUGGCAUUGAUGUAAUCAACCAGGUUUUUUUCUGGUUCUGCCUGAAUUCCUCACCCUUUCAUCAGAGCCCUUUUCUUGUGGGACUAUGAUGCUAUAAUCAGGAGUAACAGAACUGUCUGAAGUGUGGCCUGAACUUCCAUUCAUCCUGAGUUUUUAGUUAUAGAUGUACUGUCUGUAGAUGGGGGUGAAGCAUAAAUCUUUCUAACUUAAGGCUGUGGCAUAUACAUUUGCCAUCACCAAACUAUUUUGGAUGUAUGAGGUUCUGGUCUCUUAGAAAUGUUAGUUGGGAAAAAAAUUCAGAACAAUAGAAGGAUUGGGGAGAACUAUAGAUGUGAGUACUCUUGCCAUUAAAGACAAUAAGAAUCAUCAUCCCGAUAGAAUCUGUGAUUACUUCCCAAGGCAGCAAAUGUUGUUCUUUUCCUCUGUAUAUAAUUUGUGUUGAAGAUUUUAGGUGACUAAAACAACAACAAAACUGAAAACAAAAACAAUAUUUCUUAGUUACCUUUUCAAUUAUAUUUUGAGUCCUUUACUCUCACCAAAGGAAAUACCCAAGUCCACCUUUGUUGAAUGCAUUGCCCCAAAAUAAACUUGGUACAUGUCAAGCUUC
Long non-coding RNA from Urocitellus parryii (Arctic ground squirrel), 3258 nucleotides. RefSeq lists it as uncharacterized. NCBI's taxonomy places the organism in Eukaryota, Metazoa, Chordata, Mammalia, Rodentia, Sciuridae. The record is from RefSeq and is a predicted model, not a curated record.